UUUAUACGGAUGCUGCUAGGUGCCCUUGCGAGAGCGAGGGGUAACAGGGAAUCGGGUGAAAAUCCCGAGCGGUCCCGCCACUGUAAAGGUGAGUUCUCUUUCGAUGAUGCCACUCGGUUUGCCGGGGAAGGCGAAAGAGCACGAUGAACCGAAGCCAGGAGACCUACCUAGUUUGUCACACCCAA
This 185-nucleotide non-coding RNA is filed under the name Brevibacillus panacihumi. Lineage: Bacteria; Bacillati; Bacillota; Bacilli; Caryophanales; Paenibacillaceae. The record is from RNAcentral.